GAUGAACGCUGGCGGCGUGCCUAAUACAUGCAAGUCGAGCGAACGGACGAGAGGCUUGCUUCUCUGAUGUUAGCGGCGGACGUGUGAGUAACACGGGGAUAACCUCCCUAUAAGACUGGGAAAACUUCGGGAAACCGUCGCUAAUACCGGAUGAUAUUUUUAACCGCAUUGUUCAAGAGUGAAAGACGGUCUUGCUGUAACUUAUAGAUGGAUCCGCGCUUCAUUAGAUAGUUGGUAAGGUAACGGCUUACCAAGACGACGAUGCAUAGCCGACCUGAGAGGGUGAUCGGCCACACGGGAACUGAUACACGGUCCAGACGCCUACGGGAGGCAGCAGUAGGGAAUCGUCCGCAAUGGGCGAAAGCCUGACGGAGCAACGCCGCGUGAGUGAUGAAGGUCUUCGGAUCGUAAAACUCUGUUAUUAGGGAAGAACAUAUGUGUAAGUAAAUGUGCACAUCUUGACGGUACCUAAUCAGAAAGCCACGGCUAACUACGUG
Molecule: ribosomal RNA, 497 nt
Filed under: uncultured bacterium
Lineage: Bacteria
Description: partial 16S ribosomal RNA
Rfam family: Bacterial small subunit ribosomal RNA
Source: RNAcentral